RNAcentral lists this ribosomal RNA (347 nucleotides) under uncultured eukaryote. RNAcentral's name for it is "SSU rRNA". It matches the Rfam family "Eukaryotic small subunit ribosomal RNA", at positions 594 to 945 of the family's 1831-position model. The record is from RNAcentral.
AUAGCGUAUAUUAAAGUUGUUGCAGUUAAAAAGCUCGUAGUUGAACUUCAGAUUUGGUCGAGUGGUCCGCUUAACGGCGUGUUACUGCUUGACUGGGUCUUGUCUCUUGGUGAACCAUUGUGCCCUUUAUUGGAUGCUUUGGGGAACCAGGACUUUUACCUUGAGAAAAUUAGAGUGUUCAAAGCAGGCCUAUGCCUGGAUACAUUAGCAUGGAAUAAUAGAAUAGGACGUGUGGUUCUAUUUUGUUGGUUUCUAGAAUUGCCGUAAUGAUUAAUAGGGAUAGUUGGGGGCAUUGGUAUUCAGUCGCUAGAGGUGAAAUUCUUGGAUUUACGGAAGACUAACUUCUG